Molecule: ribosomal RNA, 301 nt
Filed under: uncultured bacterium
Lineage: Bacteria
Description: partial 16S ribosomal RNA
Rfam family: Bacterial small subunit ribosomal RNA
Source: RNAcentral
CAGUCGCCACGGGAAUACGUAGGGUGCAAGCGUUAAUCGGAAUUACUGGGCGUAAAGCGUGCGCAGGCGGUUUGUUAAGACAGAUGUGAAAUCCCCGGGCUCAACCUGGGAACUGCAUUUGUGACUGGCAAGCUAGAGUAUGGCAGAGGGGGGUGGAAUUCCGCGUGUAGCAGUGAAAUGCGUAGAUAUGCGGAGGAACACCGAUGGUGAAGGCAGCCCCCUGGGCCAAUACUGACGCCCAUGCACGAAAGCGUGGGGAGCAAACAGGAUUAGAUACCCCCGUAGUCCCUGUCUCUUAUAC